CUGGCCUACGGGGGGCAGCAGUGAGGAAUAUUGGUCAAUGGGCGAGAGCCUGAACCAGCCAAGUCGCGUGAGGGAUGACUGCCCUAUGGGUUGUAAACCUCUUUUGUAUGGGGGGAAUAAGCUUUACGAGUAGAGUGAUGACAGUACCAUACGAAUAAGCAUCGGCUAACUCCGUGCCAGCAGCCGCGGUAAUACGGAGGAUGCGAGCGUUAUCCGGAUUUAUUGGGUUUAAAGGGUGCGUAGGCGGUUUUUUAAGUUAGUGGUUAAACGUCGGGGCUUCACCUUGAUUUGCCAUUAAUACUGUA
Molecule: ribosomal RNA, 305 nt
Filed under: uncultured bacterium
Lineage: Bacteria
Description: bacterial SSU rRNA
Rfam family: Bacterial small subunit ribosomal RNA
Source: RNAcentral